This is a small nucleolar RNA of Sphaeramia orbicularis (orbiculate cardinalfish), 180 nucleotides long. Ensembl annotates it as small nucleolar RNA SNORD97. The record is from Ensembl. Lineage: Eukaryota; Metazoa; Chordata; Actinopteri; Kurtiformes; Apogonidae.
AUGCCCAGUGAUUAUAAAAAGACGCGUUAUUCUGAGGGUUACAACCCGCUGCCAGUCUGUUCUCUUACUUCUACUCUGUCUUUUGUGCUUAUCCAUCUCUCCUCUCCUUUGUCCUCUUCCUCCUCUGUUUUUCUAACUGGUGGCUGGUCCGCUGACUGCGAUUAUGAGAUAUGAGGGCAU